GACAGAGGUGCCGAGCGUUAGGCGGAAUCACUGGGCUUAAAGCGUGUGUAGGCGGACCGUUAAGUACCUUGUGAAAUCCUGCGGCUCAACCGCAGAACGGCUGGGUAUACUGGCGGUCUUGGGCCACCUAGGGGCAGAUGGAACAAGUGGUGGAGCGGUGAAAUGCGUAGAUAUCACUUGGAACGCCAAAGGUGAAAACAGUCUGCUGGGGUGUGCCGACGCUGAGACACGAAAGCCAGGGGAGCGAACGGG
RNAcentral lists this ribosomal RNA (252 nucleotides) under uncultured bacterium. Its description in RNAcentral is "partial 16S ribosomal RNA". It matches the Rfam family "Bacterial small subunit ribosomal RNA", at positions 524 to 776 of the family's 1533-position model. The record is from RNAcentral.